This is a non-coding RNA of Pelobates cultripes (western spadefoot toad), 323 nucleotides long. The record is from the annotation of a GenBank genome assembly. Lineage: Eukaryota; Metazoa; Chordata; Amphibia; Anura; Pelobatidae.
CAAUAUUCUUAAAGAACCGCUUGAGAGGCAAAACGUGCAUUUGGGCUCUACUGCUGUCCCACAAGUUUACAUCUAAUCUAUUCCACACUAUGUUUGAUACAUUGUGUUUACAGCCCAGAGACAACAGUGGCCUACUUUCAUUUUCAGAGGUUUUUUUUUUUUUUUUUUACACAUUCCUGCUCCCUGGUCCAUAGAGCUAGUUAGUCUUUUGGUAGAUUGUAGCCUUUCCUAUUUGAACACAUGAGAGAGGUUCCUUCAAAGGCCUAAUUAGGGGGAUCUUUGCUGUUUGGCUUUAGCACAGCGACAGGUGCUCUUAAAGACAC